UGCUUGAACCCAGGGAAGUUGAGGCUGCAGUAAGCUGUGACCAUGCCACUGCACUCCAGCCUGAGUGACAGAGCAAGACCUUGUCUCA
RNAcentral lists this microRNA precursor (88 nucleotides) under Nomascus leucogenys (northern white-cheeked gibbon). RNAcentral describes it as "miRNA (ENSNLEG00000032284.1)". The record is from RNAcentral. Lineage: Eukaryota; Metazoa; Chordata; Mammalia; Primates; Hylobatidae.